UCAGAGGGGGGUAGAAUUNCACGUGUAGCAGUGAAAUGCGUAGAGAUGUGGAGGAAUACCGAUGGCGAAGGCAGCCCCCUGGGAUAGCACUGACGUUCAUGCCCGAAAGCGUGGGUAGCAAACAGGAUUAGAUACCCUGGUAGUNCACGCCCUAAACGAUGUCGAUUAGCUGUUGGGCAACUUGAUUGCUUGGUAGNGAAGCUAACGCGUGAAAUCGACCGCCUGGGGAGUACGGUCGCAAGAUUAAAACUCAAAGGAAUUGACGGGGACCCGCACAAGCGGUGGAUGAUGUGGAUUAAUUNGAUGCAACGCGAAGAACCUUACCUGGUCUUGACAUGUACGGAACCUUCCGGAGACGGAAGGGUGCCUUCGGGAGCCGUAACACAGGUGCUGCAUGGCUGUCGUCAGCUCGUGUCGUGAGAUGUUGGGUUUAGUCCCGCAACGAGCGCAACCCUUGUCAUUAGUUGCCAUCAUUUGGUUGGGCACUNUAAUGAGACUGCCGGUGACAAGCCGGAGGAAGGUGGGGAUGACGUCAAGUCCUCAUGGCCCUUAUGACCAGGGCUUCACACGUCAUACAAUGGUCGGUACAGAGGGUAGCCAAGCCGCGAGGUGGAGCCAAUCCCAAAAAACCGAUCGUAGUCCGGAUUGCACUCUGCAACUCGAGUGCAUGAAGUCGGAAUCGCUAGUAAUCNC
Molecule: ribosomal RNA, 693 nt
Filed under: uncultured bacterium
Lineage: Bacteria
Description: bacterial SSU rRNA
Rfam family: Bacterial small subunit ribosomal RNA
Source: RNAcentral